AUUAUACUCCCUCCGUCUGAAAAUACUUGUCAGAGAAAUGAAUGUAUCUAGAUGCAUUUUAGUUCUAGAUACAUUCAUUUUUAUACAUUUUAUGACAAGUAAUUCCGGACGGAGGGAGUAUCAG
Non-coding RNA from Hordeum vulgare subsp. vulgare (domesticated barley), 124 nucleotides. The record is from Rfam. NCBI's taxonomy places the organism in Eukaryota, Viridiplantae, Streptophyta, Magnoliopsida, Poales, Poaceae.